RNAcentral lists this non-coding RNA (210 nucleotides) under uncultured Symbiodinium. Lineage: Eukaryota; Dinophyceae; Suessiales; Symbiodiniaceae. The record is from RNAcentral.
GACAGAAAGGAAACAGAAGAUACAUGUCCAAAUGAGGAAGGAAUUACACCUAGAGAAAGCUCUGGAAAUCCAUCUUUCUUUACUUUCAUUUCCUUCUCGUUUCUUGGUUAUUGGUUAAGACGGUGAACGAGUCAAUUAGCGAGUGAAAAGGGAUGACAUAAAGAUGAGAAAAAGAAAGGCAUAGAAUCUUAUCUUAUUUGUAUCUUAUUU